Molecule: ribosomal RNA, 468 nt
Filed under: uncultured bacterium
Lineage: Bacteria
Description: partial 16S ribosomal RNA
Rfam family: Bacterial small subunit ribosomal RNA
Source: RNAcentral
GGGGGGGGGGGGGGGGGGGGGGGGGGGGGGGGGGGCGGGCGGGGGGGCGCGGGGUUGCUGGAGGGGGUCGGUGGCGGACGGGUGAGUAACACGUGAGCAACCUGCCCCUGACUCUGGGAUAAGCGCUGGAAACGGCGUCUAAUACUGGAUACGAGAAGGGCCCGCAUGGGCACUUUCUGGAAAGUUUUUCGGUUGGGGAUGGGCUCGCGGCCUAUCAGCUUGUUGGUGAGGUAAUGGCUCACCAAGGCGACGACGGGUAGCCGGCCUGAGAGGGCGACCGGCCACACUGGGACUGAGACACGGCCCAGACUCCUACGGGAGGCAGCAGUGGGGAAUAUUGCACAAUGGGCGAAAGCCUGAUGCAGCGACGCCGCGUGAGGGAUGACGGCCUUCGGGUUGUAAACCUCUUUCAGCAGGGAAGAAGCGAAAGUGACGGUACCUGCAGAAGAAGCACCGGCUAACUACGUG